UCCAUAUUGAACAUAUGAAGUGCUGGCUGUGUCCGCGUAGCAGUCAGAAGAGGGAAUCAGGUGAGAGUCCUGAGCGAUCCGGUCACUGUAACAGAGGAGCGAACCUUCAUUAUCCCAUUGUACAUAGUAUGAGAAGGGGAAGGCAAGCGAUGAUCCUGAAGUCAGGAAACCUGCUUUGUAUGGCGAGGUUAA
RNAcentral lists this non-coding RNA (192 nucleotides) under Blautia sp. The record is from RNAcentral. Lineage: Bacteria; Bacillati; Bacillota; Clostridia; Lachnospirales; Lachnospiraceae.